This 1327-nucleotide ribosomal RNA is filed under the name Salmonella enterica. RNAcentral describes it as "partial 23S ribosomal RNA". It matches the Rfam family "Bacterial large subunit ribosomal RNA", at positions 1622 to 2925 of the family's 2925-position model. The record is from RNAcentral. Lineage: Bacteria; Pseudomonadati; Pseudomonadota; Gammaproteobacteria; Enterobacterales; Enterobacteriaceae.
UAAGCAUCAGGUAACAUCAAAUCGUACCCCAAACCGACACAGGUGGUCAGGUAGAGAAUACCAAGGCGCUUGAGAGAACUCGGGUGAAGGAACUAGGCAAAAUGGUGCCGUAACUUCGGGAGAAGGCACGCUGACACGUAGGUGAAGUGAUUUACUCACGGAGCUGAAGUCAGUCGAAGAUACCAGCUGGCUGCAACUGUUUAUUAAAAACACAGCACUGUGCAAACACGAAAGUGGACGUAUACGGUGUGACGCCUGCCCGGUGCCGGAAGGUUAAUUGAUGGGGUCAGCGCAAGCGAAGCUCCUGAUCGAAGCCCCGGUAAACGGCGGCCGUAACUAUAACGGUCCUAAGGUAGCGAAAUUCCUUGUCGGGUAAGUUCCGACCUGCACGAAUGGCGUAAUGAUGGCCAGGCUGUCUCCACCCGAGACUCAGUGAAAUUGAACUCGCUGUGAAGAUGCAGUGUACCCGCGGCAAGACGGAAAGACCCCGUGAACCUUUACUAUAGCUUGACACUGAACAUUGAGCCUUGAUGUGUAGGAUAGGUGGGAGGCUUUGAAGUGUGGACGCCAGUCUGCAUGGAGCCGACCUUGAAAUACCACCCUUUAAUGUUUGAUGUUCUAACGUGGACCCGUUACCCGGGUUGCGGACAGUGUCUGGUGGGUAGUUUGACUGGGGCGGUCUCCUCCUAAAGAGUAACGGAGGAGCACGAAGGUUGGCUAAUCCUGGUCGGACAUCAGGAGGUUAGUGCAAUGGCAUAAGCCAGCUUGACUGCGAGCGUGACGGCGCGAGCAGGUGCGAAAGCAGGUCAUAGUGAUCCGGUGGUUCUGAAUGGAAGGGCCAUCGCUCAACGGAUAAAAGGUACUCCGGGGAUAACAGGCUGAUACCGCCCAAGAGUUCAUAUCGACGGCGGUGUUUGGCACCUCGAUGUCGGCUCAUCACAUCCUGGGGCUGAAGUAGGUCCCAAGGGUAUGGCUGUUCGCCAUUUAAAGUGGUACGCGAGCUGGGUUUAGAACGUCGUGAGACAGUUCGGUCCCUAUCUGCCGUGGGCGCUGGAGAACUGAGGGGGGCUGCUCCUAGUACGAGAGGACCGGAGUGGACGCAUCACUGGUGUUCGGGUUGUCAUGCCAAUGGCACUGCCCGGUAGCUAAAUGCGGAAGAGAUAAGUGCUGAAAGCAUCUAAGCACGAAACUUGCCCCGAGAUGAGUUCUCCCUGAGACUUUAGGUCUCCUGAAGGAACGUUGAAGACGACGACGUUGAUAGGCCGGGUGUGUAAGCGCAGCGAUGCGUUGAGCUAACCGGUACUAAUGAACCGUGAGGCUUAACCUU